GCUACGGGAGGCUGCAGUGAGGAAUAUUGGUCAAUGGGCGGAAGCCUGAACCAGCCAAGUAGCGUGCAGGAUGACGGCCCUACGGGUUGUAAACUGCUUUUAUACGGGAAUAACGCGCCUUACGUGUAGGGCUUUGCAUGUACCGUAUGAAUAAGGACCGGCUAAUUCCGUGCCAGCAGCCGCGUUAAUACGGAAGGUCCGGGCGUUAUCCGGAUUUAUUGGGUUUAAAGGGAGCGUAGGCCGCAUGACAAGCGUGCUGUUAAAUGUCCGGGAUAAACCCGGGCCUUGCAGCGCGUACUGGAGUGCGUGAGUCCGCGGAAAGAAGGAGGAAUUCGUCGUGUAGCGGUGAAAUGCUUAGAUACGACGAAGAACCCCGAUUGCGAAGGCAGCUUGCUGCAGCGGAACUGACGCUGAUGCUCGAAAGUGAGAGUAUCGAACAGGACGAGAUACCCCAGUAGUC
Molecule: ribosomal RNA, 460 nt
Filed under: uncultured bacterium
Lineage: Bacteria
Description: partial 16S ribosomal RNA
Rfam family: Bacterial small subunit ribosomal RNA
Source: RNAcentral